GCGAGCGUUAAUCGGAAUUACUGGGCGUAAAGGGCACGCAGGCGGUUAAUUAAGUUGGAUGUGAAAUCCCCGGGCUUAACCUGGGAAUGGNAUUCAAGACUGGUUAGCUAGAGUCUUGUAGAGGGGGGUAGAAUUCCAUGUGUAGCGGUGAAAUGCGUAGAGAUGUGGAGGAAUACCGGUGGCGAAGGCGGCCCCCUGGACAGAGACUGACGCUCAUGUGCGAAAGCGUGGGGAGCAAACAGGAUUAGAUACCCUGGUAGUCCACGCUGUAAACGAUGUCGAUUUGGAGGUUGUGGUCAUGAAUUGUGGCCUCCGGAGCUAACGCGUUAAAUCGACCGCCUGGGGAGUACGGCCGCAAGGUUAAAACUCAAAUGAAUUGACGGGGGCCCGCACAAGCGGUGGAGCAUGUGGUUUAAUUCGAUGCAACGCGAAGAACCUUACCUACUCUUGACAUCCAGCGAAGCCUUUAGAGAUAAAGGCGUGCCUUCGGGAGCGCUGAGACAGGUGCUGCAUGGCUGUCGUCAGCUCGUGUUGUGAAAUGUUGGGUUAAGUCCCGCAACGAGCGCAACCCUUAUCCUUUGUUGCCA
This 587-nucleotide ribosomal RNA is filed under the name Arsenophonus endosymbiont of Apis mellifera. RNAcentral's name for it is "bacterial SSU rRNA". It matches the Rfam family "Bacterial small subunit ribosomal RNA", at positions 534 to 1120 of the family's 1533-position model. Lineage: Bacteria; Pseudomonadati; Pseudomonadota; Gammaproteobacteria; Enterobacterales; Morganellaceae. The record is from RNAcentral.